RNAcentral lists this transfer RNA (63 nucleotides) under Trioza remota. Its description in RNAcentral is "tRNA-Asn". The record is from RNAcentral. Lineage: Eukaryota; Metazoa; Arthropoda; Insecta; Hemiptera; Triozidae.
AAGUAAAAGUCAAAGAGAGACAAAUUAUUGUUAAUAAUUUAAAUGAGUUAUAUCUUACUUAAG